AUGUCUUCUGCAAGGCCACGGCGCCGGUCUGUUCGCUUGGGUGGGAAAAGUGCACGUGGCCAAGGUUCAUCUCCUGGAGACACUGAAUAGGGUGGCACUCAUGGCUCUCUCUAUAGCCAAAGAAGAGAAAUUUGUCACUUGUAGAGGGUGAGGCAUCUGCCCUGUCUAUGGAUGAGAUGAAUCACAGCCCAAUUUCUCUUGAUUGGCCUUAAUGGGAGAGUAAAGCAAUUAGUGGAAUGGAUGGGGAUACUUCAGGAGCCUCACGCUGGACAGGAUGGAUGCUUCCUUUGAUCACCUCGGCUGGAUAAGGACCUACGCCUCCUACAUCUGACAGCCACCUAAUGCCCUGACCUGGAAGUACUUUGAAUUAGUAGUACUACAGUAACACAGAGAAGAAUAAAAUCUUGAAUCUCUGGGGGGAUCUACUCAUGGGCAUCAUACUAAUGAAGCAAACUGUUGCAGGAUCAGGCUGCUGUGCUCAUGCAAGUGAUGGGAAAAGGCACGGUGAUGGAUCUUAAAAACGCUUUCAGGAAGAGCUUAUUGACAGGUGAGGUUAGCAGACAGCUAACAAAAUGCAGUGUUUGGAGGAAGAAUACGGUUGUCAAAGUGGCAUUCAUGGCAACGGAAAUGAUUUGUGAACUUGAGUUCCAUUUGAGCGGAUUCAGUAAAAGACGCAGCGAAACCUUUGGAAAUGUCAAAACACGAAGGUUUUUCCUUUAUGAACUGCUGAAGGUGAGUAUUUUGCAUUUUAUAAAGUGAUAUUUAAACAAAUACUCCUUCCACAGCAGCCUGUUGGUUGCAAAGAUUGACUUACGGUCAAAGACGAAAACUUAAAAUAGGUUAAGUUAAAAAACUUAAAAUUUGGCACCCAUCGUUCUGUACCUGACUAAAGGCUUGGAGGGAGCCUUUUGCUGUCAUUUGGGCAAAAAGCAGUCCAAAUCCCCAUGUCCUACCUGACCUCAUUUCUCCUCCACUUUUUUCAACAACUACGCCAGGAAAGGUCUGCUACCGGGGGACUAAAAUUCAGCUCAUCACCGUGGACACAGACGGCCACCUCGGCCAGCCUCUUUCUUCUACCCUAAGCCUCAGAAAUUACCAAACAUUAACAUUUCAUCAGUUCAGGGAGUUGGACGGCAGUUUGCACAGUAGCUGUCGAAAAGCUUUGCUGACUGCACUGCAAGUCAGCCUUUCCUGGGGUAUUUCGAGUGCAGCUGCUGUGGUUAAUUCAUGUGCUGGUGGCGGUUUUAAGGCCACGUGGCUUGAGCAGCCCACUGUUGUCACAGCUGGGCUCCAGCACACUGCGUCCCCAGAAAGAUGUAAGUCCACUGGAGACUGUGAAAAGCAGCAAAACAAGCAAGAAUGAGGUCUGAAAGCACAAGGAAGAAGGUCUUGUAAGGAAAAUGCUGCAUGGAGAGGCCGUGGGGCCCCUGCUAGGGCAGGUGUUUAGGAGGAAGCCAAGCCAGCAUUUGUCAGAGCUGACGCAGUCCAUCGUGCCCUAGCACAGGGGUGGAUAGGGUGGCUUUUUCAGUCCCUCUGAUUUUGGGAUCAAGG
This 1551-nucleotide long non-coding RNA is filed under the name Anser brachyrhynchus (Pink-footed goose). Its description in RNAcentral is "lncRNA (ENSABRG00000004901.1)". The record is from RNAcentral. Lineage: Eukaryota; Metazoa; Chordata; Aves; Anseriformes; Anatidae.